CGUGCAGGCGGUUUCGUAAGUCGGACGUGAAAGCUCCUGGCUUAACUAGGAGAGGCCGUUCGAUACUGCGGAACUUGAGGUCGGGAGAGGGACGUGGAAUUCCCGGUGUAGUGGUGGAAUGCGUAGAUAUCGGGAGGAACACCAGUGGCGAAGGCGGCGUCCUGGCCCGUACCUGACGCUAAGACGCGAAAGCGUGGGUAGCGAACG
This 207-nucleotide ribosomal RNA is filed under the name uncultured bacterium. RNAcentral describes it as "partial 16S ribosomal RNA". It matches the Rfam family "Bacterial small subunit ribosomal RNA", at positions 568 to 774 of the family's 1533-position model. The record is from RNAcentral.